GAAUUCGCCCUUAGAGUUUGAUCCUGGCUCAGGACGAACGCUGGCGGCGCGCCUAACACAUGCAAGUCGAACGAGCGAGAGAGAGCUUGCUUUCUCGAGCGAGUGGCGAACGGGUGAGUAACGCGUGAGGAACCUGCCUCAAAGAGGGGGACAACAGUUGGAAACGACUGCUAAUACCGCAUAAGCCCACGGCUCGGCAUCGAGCAGAGGGAAAAGGAGCAAUCCGCUUUGAGAUGGCCUCGCGUCCGAUUAGCUAGUUGGUGAGGUAACGGCCCACCAAGGCGACGAUCGGUAGCCGGACUGAGAGGUUGAACGGCCACAUUGGGACUGAGACACGGCCCAGACUCCUACGGGAGGCAGCAGUGGGGAAUAUUGCACAAUGGGGGAAACCCUGAUGCAGCGACGCCGCGUGGAGGAAGAAGGUCUUCGGAUUGUAAACUCCUGUUGUUGAGGAAGAUAAUGACGGUACUCAACAAGGAAGUGACGGCUAACUACGUGCCAGCAGCCGCGGUAAAACGUAGGUCACAAGCGUUGUCCGGAAUUACUGGGUGUAAAGGGAGCGCAGGCGGGAAGACAAGUUGGAAGUGAAAUCCAUGGGCUCAACCCAUGAACUGCUUUCAAAACUGUUUUUCUUGAGUAGUGCAGAGGUAGGCGGAAUUCCCGGUGUAGCGGUGGAAUGCGUAGAUAUCGGGAGGAACACCAGUGGCGAAGGCGGCCUACUGGGCACCAACUGACGCUGAGGCUCGAAAGUGUGGGUAGCAAACAGGAUGUAGAUACCCUGGUAGUCCACACUGUAAACGAUG
RNAcentral lists this ribosomal RNA (803 nucleotides) under uncultured bacterium. RNAcentral's name for it is "bacterial SSU rRNA". It matches the Rfam family "Bacterial small subunit ribosomal RNA", at positions 1 to 811 of the family's 1533-position model. The record is from RNAcentral.